GAUGAACGCUGGCGGCGUGCCUAAUACAUGCAAGUCGAGCGAACAGACGAGGAGCUUGCUCCUUUGACGUUAGCGGCGGACGGGUGAGUAACACGUGGGUAACCUACCUAUAAGACUGGGAUAACUUCGGGAAACCGGAGCUAAUACCGGAUAAUAUUUCGAACCGCAUGGUUCGAUAGUGAAAGAUGGCUUUGCUAUCACUUAUAGAUGGACCUGCGCCGUAUUAGCUAGUUGGUAAGGUAACGGCUUACCAAGGCAACGAUACGUAGCCGACCUGAGAGGGUGAUCGGCCACACUGGAACUGAGACACGGUCCAGACUCCUACGGGAGGCAGCAGUAGGGAAUCUUCCGCAAUGGGCGAAAGCCUGACGGAGCUACGCCGCGUGAGUGAUGAAGGUCUUCGGAUCGUAAAACUCUGUUAUUAGGGAAGAACAAACGUGUAAGUAACUGUGCACGUCUUGACGGUACCUAAUCAGAAAGCCACGGCUAACUACGUG
Molecule: ribosomal RNA, 497 nt
Filed under: uncultured bacterium
Lineage: Bacteria
Description: partial 16S ribosomal RNA
Rfam family: Bacterial small subunit ribosomal RNA
Source: RNAcentral